CUACCGGGGUAUCUAAUCCUGUUUGCUCCCCACGCUUUCGCGCCUCAGCGUCAGUUACAGACCAGAGAGUCGCCUUCGCCACUGGUGUUCCUCCACAUAUCUACGCAUUUCACCGCUACACGUGGAAUUCCACUCUCCUCUUCUGCACUCAAGCUCCCCAGUUUCCAAUGGCCGCUCGGGGUUGAGCCCCGAGAUUUCACAUCAGACUUAAGAAGCCGCCUGCGCGCGCUUUACGCCCAAUAAUUCCGGACAACGCUUGCCACCUACGUAUUACCGCGGCUGCUGGCAC
Molecule: ribosomal RNA, 289 nt
Filed under: uncultured Bacillus sp.
Lineage: Bacteria; Bacillati; Bacillota; Bacilli; Caryophanales; Bacillaceae
Description: partial 16S ribosomal RNA
Source: RNAcentral